UGGGGAAUAUUGCACAAUGGGGGAAACCCUGAUGCAGCGACGCCGCGUGAGCGAAGAAGGUUUUCGAAUCGUAAAGCUCUGUCCUAUGAGAAGAUAAUGACGGUAUCAUAGGAGGAAGCCCCGGCUAAAUACGUGCCAGCAGCCACGGUAAUACGUAUGGGGCGAGCGUUGUCCGGAAUUAUUGGGCGUAAAGGGUACGUAGGCGGUCUAUUAAGUCAGGUGUGAAAGCGUGAGGCUUAACCUCAUUAAGCACUUGAAACUGAUAGACUUGAGUGAAGGAGAGGAAAGUGGAAUUCCUAGUGUAGCGGUGAAAUGCGUAGAUAUUAGGAGGAAUACCGGUGGCGAAGGCGACUUUCUGGACUUUUACUGACGCUCAGGUACGAAAGCGUGGGGAGCAAACAGG
RNAcentral lists this ribosomal RNA (403 nucleotides) under Verrucomicrobiota bacterium. RNAcentral describes it as "Verrucomicrobia bacterium partial 16S ribosomal RNA". It matches the Rfam family "Bacterial small subunit ribosomal RNA", at positions 355 to 776 of the family's 1533-position model. Lineage: Bacteria; Pseudomonadati; Verrucomicrobiota. The record is from RNAcentral.